Sapajus apella (tufted capuchin) is the source of this 2870-nucleotide RNA transcript. It is a transcript of the gene named securin-like, with no coding region annotated. The transcript has a single exon. Lineage: Eukaryota; Metazoa; Chordata; Mammalia; Primates; Cebidae. The record is from RefSeq and is a predicted model, not a curated record.
CACCAUGUUGGCCAGGAUGGUCUCGAUCUCUUGACCUCGUGAUCUGCCUUGGCCUCCCAAAGUGCUGAGAUUACAGGCGUGAGCCCUUGUGCCCAGCCUCUAAUCUUAAAUAUUGUUAUGAUGGUGAUUUUCUAAAGGUUCAGUGGUUCAUUCGAUGAAUAUUCAUUAAAUAUGUACUAGAGACAGCUUUAGCCACUAGAAAUACAUUAGUGAAUAGAGACAAACAAGUUUUCUUACUCAUGAAAAUUACCUUCUGCUAGGGAAGAUGUAUAGUAAACAAGAAAACAAAUACAUAAUGUGUUUUUAAAUAAUUUCAAGUCCUAUGAUGAAAAAAAAUCUGAGUAAAGAAAAAUAGAGAAUGAUAGCUGCAUGAUGUAAGGAGAGGGACCAGUUUUGGUUCUCUUAGAUUACAAGGUUAGAGAAGUCUUCUAAGACAACGUUUGAAUAGAGCCCUGAAUAUGAGAAAGAACAGACUAUUAACGAUCAGGGGGAAAGCAUUCAAAGCAGGGGAAUCAGCAAGUGUAAACAUUUACAAGUGUAAAAAUCAGGUUGGUGGUUUUGAGGAACAAUAAGAGGCAAGCAGGACCAAAACAGAGUUAGGUAAAGAGGAGAGAGGGUAGUAGGAGUAAAAUAUACCAGAAGAUUAGUUUGGGAGAAGUAGGUUGGGGGCCAUAUGUUAUAAGAUCUUUGAAAACAUUUGAGUUUUUAGGCCCAUAAAUUUUGAUCUGUUUUAUAUUUUUAAAGGAUCGCUAUGGUUUGCUGUAUGAAGAAAGACUAUAGUUGUAGUUUUCAAAGUGUGGUCCAGGGACACUAAGAAUCCCUGAGACCCUUUCAGUGGGAUUCUGCCCAAACUGUUUUCAUGUUACUAAGAUGUUAGUCAGCUUUUUCAUUCUGAUUCUCUUAGGGGGCACAGUGGAAUUUUCCCAAGUCUAUAUGAUAUGUGGUGAUAUCCUUACUCUGACAAUGGAAUAUGUAUAUUCUUGUGAUUUAAAUUUCUCUCAGUUUUAAUUUCUAACACGGUGAAUAUUGAUAAGUAUAACUCACAUAAACAAAAGCUCUUUGGGUCCUUAAUAAUUUUUAAGAAUAUGAAGGGGUCAUGAAAGAUAACCAAAAGAAAUAGAACUGUUGGAUUAUAAGAGUAGAGUAGAGGCAGCUAGACUAGUUAUCAGCUAUUGUAGUAGUCCAGCUAAGAGAUGCUGGUGGCAUCAGUUCAUCGCAAUCUCAGAGGAAGGUGGCUGUUGAGAGCGGCGAUAAUCCAGAAUGGCUUCUCUGAUCUAUGUUGAUAAGGAAAAUGGAGAAACAGGCACUUGUGUGGCUGCUAAGGAUGGGCUGAAGCUGGGGUCUGGACCUUCAGUCAAAGCCUUAAAUGAGAGAUCUCAAGUUGCAAUACCACGUUUUGGCAAAACGUUUGAUGCUCCACCAGCCUUACCUAAAGCUACUAGAAAGGCUUUGGGAACUGUAAACAGAGCUACAGAAAAGGCAGUAAAGACCAGUGGACCCCGCAAUCAAAAACAGCCAAGCUUUUCUCCAAAAGGAUGACUGGGAAGACUGUUAAAGCAAAAAGCUCUGUUCUCCCUCAGAUGAUGCCUAUCCAGAAACAGAAAAAUCCUUUCCCUUCGAUCCUCUAGACUUUGAGAGUUUUGACCUGCCUGAAGAGCAUCAGAUUGCACACCUACCGUUGAGUUGAGUGCCUCUUAUGACCCUUGACAAGGAGAGAGAGCUUGAAAAGCUGGUUCAACUGGGCCUCCCUUCACCUGUGAAGAUGCCCUCUCCACCAUGGAAAUCCAAUCUGUUGCAGUCUCUUUCAAGCAUUCUGUUGACCCUGGAUAUUGAAUUGCCACCUGUUUGCUAUGACAUUGAUAUUUAAAUUUCUUAGUGCUUUAGCGUUUGUAUUAAUAAACAUUCUUUAACAGAAAAAAAAAAAGAUGCUGGUAUGUUAGACAAGAGUUGGGAAUAGAGAUAAUCAGAAGUCAUUGAAUUUGAUGUAUCCUUUGAUGAAAAAAGUUGCAGGGGUGUGGGGAGGGGACCUAACAGAAUUUGUAGAUAGAUGAAUGUGAGUUGUGAAGGAAAGAGUGAGUGAUCAGGAAUGACUCCUAGAUUUUUCUCCAGCAUAAUUAGGUGCAUAGUGACAUUGGGAGGAGGUUUAGAUGGGAAAAAAUCAGUUUUUCGAUUGUAAUUGAAUUAGUUACUAACUUCAUCUCCUUUGUUGUGGGGGUUGUUCCACUGGAAAAAGGAAAAAGCUAUUUGUUUCUUUGAGUUAGGCACUAAGCCAAAAUCAUAAUUUAUGAUGAGGUGUGUUGAACAUUUUUGGAUUGUGGUCUUUACAUAGCAUAUUUAUACUCUGUAUGGGAUUCAUGCUGUGGUUUACAAUUUAUGCAUGGGAUUAAGACAGAAUACCCAGUGAACUUACAAUAGAGCACAGAGGUAUUACAAAAUAACUACACAAGGUUAUAAAUGGAAAUCUUUUUUUUAUGUAAUACAUAUACUUCAAACUUUUAAAAAAAGCUUCUAAGUUUCUGCUCAGUUUCAUGUCUUGAAAAAAUGCUCUAUGUACCUGUUUUGAUCAGUAAAGUCAAUAUAUGAUCAAAUGGGAGAUGUCUCUGUUAUCCAUAUCACUACUUCAUAUUAUUGGAUUAUAAAUUAUUUUAACAUGUUCUUAUACCGUAAUAUCAAUAUACUUAAUUUUAUUAGAAAACAUUAUUUUAUGCAAGAUUGGAUGCAUUACAGAAUUAAGAUUUCUCUUUAUUAGCAGUAGCUCUAAAAAUAGCUUUAAGCACAAAAAUAAUAUCUUUACGAGUUCUCAGAAUAGAGACAAUCCAUGUGUUAGAAUAAUUGGCUUUUAAUAAAACAUUUAUGAUUUAAGAACUUAA